Molecule: ribosomal RNA, 404 nt
Filed under: uncultured bacterium
Lineage: Bacteria
Description: bacterial SSU rRNA
Rfam family: Bacterial small subunit ribosomal RNA
Source: RNAcentral
UGGGGAAUAUUGGACAAUGGGCGAAAGCCUGAUCCAGCCAUGCCGCGUGAAUGAUGAAGGCCCUAGGGUUGUAAAGUUCUUUCAACGGUGAAGAUGAUGACGGUAGCCGUAGAAGAAGCCCCGGCUAACUCCGUGCCAGCAGCCGCGGUAAUACGGAGGGGGCGAGCGUUGUUCGGAAUUACUGGGCGUAAAGGGCGUGUAGGCGGACUGUUAAGUUAGGGGUGAAAUCCCAGGGCUCAACCCUGGAACUGCCUCUAAUACUGGCGGUCUUGAGAUUUGGAGAGGUGUGUGGAAUUCCUAGUGUAGAGGUGAAAUUCGUAGAUAUUAGGAAGAACACCAGUGGCGAAGGCGGCACACUGGCCAACAUCUGACGCUGAGGCGCGAAAGCGUGGGGAGCAAACAGG